Molecule: ribosomal RNA, 484 nt
Filed under: uncultured bacterium
Lineage: Bacteria
Description: partial 16S ribosomal RNA
Rfam family: Bacterial small subunit ribosomal RNA
Source: RNAcentral
AUUGAACGCUGGCGGAAUGCUUUACACAUGCAAGUCGAGCGGCAGCGCGGCCUUCGGGCUGGCGGCGAGCGGCGAACGGGUGAGUAAUGCAUCGGAACAUGCCCAGUCGUGGGGGAUAACACUUCGAAAGAAGUGCUAAUACCGCAUACGUCCUGAGGGGGAAAGCGGGGGAUCGCAAGACCUCGCGCGAUUGGAGUGGCCGAUGUCAGAUUAGCUAGUUGGUGGGGUAAAGGCCUACCAAGGCGACGAUCUGUAGCUGGUCUGAGAGGAUGAUCAGCCACACUGGGACUGAGACACGGCCCAGACGACUAAGGGAGGCAGCAGUCGGGAAUUUUGGACAAUGGGGGCAACCCUGAUCCAGCCAUUCCGCGUGAGUGAAGAAGGCCUUCGGGUUGUAAAGCUCUUUCGGCAGGAACGAAACGGUGGGCUCUAACAUAGUCCGCUAAUGACGGUACCUGAAGAAGAAGCACCGGCUAACUACGUG